AGUGAACGCUGGCGGUAGGCCUAACACAUGCAAGUCGAACGGCAGCACAGUAAGAGCUUGCUCUUACGGGUGGCGAGUGGCGGACGGGUGAGGAAUACAUCGGAAUCUACUUUUUCGUGGGGGAUAACGUAGGGAAACUUACGCUAAUACCGCAUACGACCUACGGGUGAAAGCAGGGGAUCUUCGGACCUUGCGCGAUUGAAUGAGCCGAUGUCGGAUUAGCUAGUUGGCGGGGUAAAGGCCCACCAAGGCGACGAUCCGUAGCUGGUCUGAGAGGAUGAUCAGCCACACUGGAACUGAGACACGGUCCAGACUCCUACGGGAGGCAGCAGUGGGGAAUAUUGGACAACGGGCGGAAGCCUGAUCCAGCCAUACCGCGUGGGUGAAGAAGGCCUUCGGGUUGUAAAGCCCUUUUGUUGGGAAAGAAAAGCAGCAGGUUAAUACCCCGCUGUUCUGACGGUACCCAAAGAAUAAGCACCGGCUAACUUCGUG
Molecule: ribosomal RNA, 492 nt
Filed under: uncultured bacterium
Lineage: Bacteria
Description: partial 16S ribosomal RNA
Rfam family: Bacterial small subunit ribosomal RNA
Source: RNAcentral